UUAACUUAUUUUAUAAUACUCAGACGACACUAGAAACAUAGGAGUUGGGGGCUUCUGGCAGGAGCGCCUGUAACAGCGCUAAAGGCAGAUCGCAAUCGUCGCCUUUUUACAGGCUCCGAUCUUCAGCAACCAUCCUACCAAAGCAACACGGUAAUAACACAGGAUGGGAGGUCUACCCCGAAGAGCAUGAUCUCGGUAAUGAUCCUUCCGCUGGUUCACCAACGGAAA
RNAcentral lists this unclassified non-coding RNA (228 nucleotides) under uncultured fungus. RNAcentral describes it as "sequence contains ITS1". Lineage: Eukaryota; Fungi. The record is from RNAcentral.